UACGUAGGGACCAAGCGUUGUUCGGAUUUACUGGGCGUAAAGGGCGCGUAGGCGGCAAUUCAAGUCAUCUGUGAAAUCUCCGGGCUUAACCCGGAACGGUCAGGUGAUACUGUUUUGCUAGAGUGCGGAAGGGGCAAUCGGAAUUCUCGGUGUAGCGGUGAAAUGCGUAGAUAUCGGGAGGAACACCUGUGGCGAAAGCGGCUCACUGGACCACAACUGACGCUGAGGCGCGAAAGCUAGGGGAGCAAACAGG
Molecule: ribosomal RNA, 253 nt
Filed under: uncultured bacterium
Lineage: Bacteria
Description: partial 16S ribosomal RNA
Rfam family: Bacterial small subunit ribosomal RNA
Source: RNAcentral